AGUGUAGCUAACAGCACUUGGGAGUGUGUACAAACUUUAGGUUAUUUAUCUUUUUAUACUCUUUACUCUCUCCUUAUGAAGAAUAAUAAAAGUAAGUUGUGG
Long non-coding RNA from Athene cunicularia (burrowing owl), 102 nucleotides. RefSeq lists it as uncharacterized. Lineage: Eukaryota; Metazoa; Chordata; Aves; Strigiformes; Strigidae. The record is from RefSeq and is a predicted model, not a curated record. The transcript is spliced from 3 exons.